AGAGUUUGAUCAUGGCUCAGGACGAACGCUGGCGGCGUGCUUAACACAUGCAAGUCGAACGGAGAUUUAGGAGAGCUUGCUCUCCGAAGAUCUUAGUGGCGGACGGGUGAGUAACGCGUAGGUAAUCUACCUCUGCAUCUGGGAUAACACUUCGAAAGGGGUGCUAAUACCGGAUACACUUAUGGACCGCAAGGUUUAUAAGGAAAGGAGACCUCUCCUUGGAAGUUUCUGUGUAGAGAUGAGCCUGCGUCCCAUUAGCUAGUUGGUAGGGUAAAGGCCUACCAAGGCGACGAUGGGUAGCGGGUCUGAGAGGAUGAUCCGCCACACUGGAACUGAAACACGGACCAGACUCCUACGGGAGGCAGCAGUGAGGAAUAUUGGACAAUGGGCGCAAGCCUGAUCCAGCGACGCCGCGUGAGUGAUGAAGGCCUUUGGGUCGUAAAGCUCUGUCAGCAGGGAAGAACGGCCGUGUGGUUAAUACCCAUGCGGAUUGACGGUACCUGCAGAGGAAGCACCGGCUAACUCCGUGCCAGCMGCCGCGGUAAUA
RNAcentral lists this ribosomal RNA (547 nucleotides) under Desulfobulbaceae bacterium enrichment culture 13Fcon08. RNAcentral describes it as "SSU rRNA". It matches the Rfam family "Bacterial small subunit ribosomal RNA", at positions 8 to 525 of the family's 1533-position model. Lineage: Bacteria; Pseudomonadati; Thermodesulfobacteriota; Desulfobulbia; Desulfobulbales; Desulfobulbaceae. The record is from RNAcentral.